AAGACUUUAAGUUAAACAAACUAAUAUCCUUCAAAGCUAUAAAUAAAGUUAAUUCAACUUUAAGUCUUA
RNAcentral lists this transfer RNA (69 nucleotides) under Sibylla pretiosa. RNAcentral describes it as "tRNA-Trp". The record is from RNAcentral. Lineage: Eukaryota; Metazoa; Arthropoda; Insecta; Mantodea; Hymenopodidae.